RNAcentral lists this ribosomal RNA (118 nucleotides) under Microcebus murinus (gray mouse lemur). The record is from RNAcentral. Lineage: Eukaryota; Metazoa; Chordata; Mammalia; Primates; Cheirogaleidae.
UAGUAGUACCAUACCACCCUGAAUGCUCCUGAUUUUAUCUGAUCUUGGAAGCUAAGCAGGGUCGGUCCUGGUUAGUACUUGGGUGGGAGUCAAACUCUGAAACCUAGUUUCUUCCUGG